RNAcentral lists this ribosomal RNA (1428 nucleotides) under Klebsiella aerogenes. Its description in RNAcentral is "bacterial SSU rRNA". It matches the Rfam family "Bacterial small subunit ribosomal RNA". Lineage: Bacteria; Pseudomonadati; Pseudomonadota; Gammaproteobacteria; Enterobacterales; Enterobacteriaceae. The record is from RNAcentral.
CGCGGCUACACAUGCAGUCGAGCGGUAGCACAGAGAGCUUGCUCUCGGGUGACGAGCGGCGGACGGGUGAGUAAUGUCUGGGAAACUGCCUGAUGGAGGGGGAUAACUACUGGAAACGGUAGCUAAUACCGCAUAACGUCGCAAGACCAAAGUGGGGGACCUUCGGGCCUCAUGCCAUCAGAUGUGCCCAGAUGGGAUUAGCUAGUAGGUGGGGUAAUGGCUCACCUAGGCGACGAUCCCUAGCUGGUCUGAGAGGAUGACCAGCCACACUGGAACUGAGACACGGUCCAGACUCCUACGGGAGGCAGCAGUGGGGAAUAUUGCACAAUGGGCGCAAGCCUGAUGCAGCCAUGCCGCGUGUAUGAAGAAGGCCUUCGGGUUGUAAAGUACUUUCAGCGAGGAGGAAGGCGUUAAGGUUAAUAACCUUAGCGAUUGACGUUACUCGCAGAAGAAGCACCGGCUAACUCCGUGCCAGCAGCCGCGGUAAUACGGAGGGUGCAAGCGUUAAUCCGGAAUUACUGGGCGUAAAGCGCACGCAGGCGGUCUGUCAAGUCGGAUGUGAAAUCCCCGGGCUCAACCUGGGAACUGCAUUCGAAACUGGCAGGCUAGAGUCUUGUAGAGGGGGGUAGAAUUCCAGGUGUAGCGGUGAAAUGCGUAGAGAUCUGGAGGAAUACCGGUGGCGAAGGCGGCCCCCUGGACAAAGACUGACGCUCAGGUGCGAAAGCGUGGGGAGCAAACAGGAUUAGAUACCCUGGUAGUCCACGCCGUAAACGAUGUCGACUUGGAGGUUGUGCCCUUGAGGCGUGGCUUCCGGAGCUAACGCGUUAAGUCGACCGCCUGGGGAGUACGGCCGCAAGGUUAAAACUCAAAUGAAUUGACGGGGGCCCGCACAAGCGGUGGAGCAUGUGGUUUAAUUCGAUGCAACGCGAAGAACCUUACCUACUCUUGACAUCCAGAGAACUUAGCAGAGAUGCUUUGGUGCCUUCGGGAACUCUGAGACAGGUGCUGCAUGGCUGUCGUCAGCUCGUGUUGUGAAAUGUUGGGUUAAGUCCCGCAACGAGCGCAACCCUUAUCCUUUGUUGCCAGCGGUCCGGCCGGGAACUCAAAGGAGACUGCCAGUGAUAAACUGGAGGAAGGUGGGGAUGACGUCAAGUCAUCAUGGCCCUUACGAGUAGGGCUACACACGUGCUACAAUGGCAUAUACAAAGAGAAGCGACCUCGCGAGAGCAAGCGGACCUCAUAAAGUAUGUCGUAGUCCGGAUUGGAGUCUGCAACUCGACUCCAUGAAGUCGGAAUCGCUAGUAAUCGUAGAUCAGAAUGCUACGGUGAAUACGUUCCCGGGCCUUGUACACACCGCCCGUCACACCAUGGGAGUGGGUUGCAAAAGAAGUAGGUAGCUUAACCUUCGGGAGGGCGCUACCACUUGAU